CGCGGGGUGGAGCAGCUUGGUAGCUCGUCAGGCUCAUAACCUGAAGGUCGCUGGUUCAAAUCCAGCCCCCGCAA
This 74-nucleotide transfer RNA is filed under the name Candidatus Midichloria mitochondrii IricVA. It matches the Rfam family "tRNA". Rfam says of the family: Transfer RNA (tRNA) molecules are approximately 80 nucleotides in length. Their secondary structure includes four short double-helical elements and three loops (D, anti-codon, and T loops). Further hydrogen bonds mediate the characteristic L-shaped molecular structure. tRNAs have two regions of fundamental functional importance: the anti-codon, which is responsible for specific mRNA codon recognition, and the 3' end, to which the tRNAs corresponding amino acid is attached (by aminoacyl-tRNA synthetases). tRNAs cope with the degeneracy of the genetic code in two manners: having more than one tRNA (with a specific anti-codon) for a particular amino acid; and 'wobble' base-pairing, i.e. permitting non-standard base-pairing at the 3rd anti-codon position. RNAcentral also lists the same sequence under 1 other name. Lineage: Bacteria; Pseudomonadati; Pseudomonadota; Alphaproteobacteria; Rickettsiales; Candidatus Midichloriaceae. The record is from Rfam by way of RNAcentral.